UGUUGGAACAGAAACAUAGUGCGUUGAAGACCCAUCGACCCCUGGCAGGCACUGGCCCCGAGGCUGCCACAGAAACCCCGAACAUGACUCCUGCGUCCUGGGCCCUGGUCCUGCCUGCUGGGCCUCAGGGAUAAGUUUGGUUACAGAUGUCG
Small nucleolar RNA from Phyllostomus discolor (pale spear-nosed bat), 152 nucleotides. RefSeq annotates it as small nucleolar RNA SNORA5. Lineage: Eukaryota; Metazoa; Chordata; Mammalia; Chiroptera; Phyllostomidae. The record is from RefSeq and is a predicted model, not a curated record. The transcript has a single exon.